RNAcentral lists this long non-coding RNA (350 nucleotides) under Phaseolus vulgaris (common bean). RNAcentral describes it as "long non-coding RNA (PVUL_LNC003779)". Lineage: Eukaryota; Viridiplantae; Streptophyta; Magnoliopsida; Fabales; Fabaceae. The record is from RNAcentral.
AAAACAGAAAAUCCAAAGAACUACACAUUUUCCAAAAUCCACAGUUUCAGGAACUCACCGUGUGAAACCCACAGUUCUCCAGCUUCUGGUAAUGCCUCUUACUUAAUCCAGGUAUGCAAUUUAUAGACUUGUCAAGAAAUAACUCACUCAGUGUAGGAUUUGGCUGUGACUCCAUCCCCACUUUCAUUUGACAAUCUUCCCUGGUUAUUUGAUCCGAUUUAUUUGCUUGUAUUGAAGGCAUUAAAUCAGGAAGCAAAGAAGAAGGAAAAGAAUUAUCUUUUCCUAAUGUGGAAGAUGCUACAGUAGAAUGCUUGACAUACAGAGAAGGCCAUUCUUCAGAAGCACUUUGC